RNAcentral lists this ribosomal RNA (492 nucleotides) under uncultured bacterium. RNAcentral describes it as "partial 16S ribosomal RNA". It matches the Rfam family "Bacterial small subunit ribosomal RNA", at positions 29 to 507 of the family's 1533-position model. The record is from RNAcentral.
AGUGAACGCUGGCGGUAGGCCUAACACAUGCAAGUCGAACGGCAGCACAGUAAGAGCUUGCUCUUACGGGUGGCGAGUGGCGGACGGGUGAGGAAGACAUCGGAAUCUACUUUUUCGUGGGGGAUAACGUAGGGAAACUUACGCUAAUACCGCAUACGACCUACGGGUGAAAGCAGGGGAUCUUCGGACCUUGCGCGAUUGUAUGAGCCGAUGUCGGAUUAGCUAGUUGGCGGGGCAAAGGCCCACCAAGGCGACGAUCCGUAGCUGGUCUGAGAGGAUGAUCAGCCACACUGGAACUGAGACACGGUCCAGACUCCUACGGGAGGCAGCAGUGGGGAAUAUUGGACGAUGGGCGCAAGCCUGAUCCAGCCAUACCGCGUGGGUGAAGAAGGCCUUCGGGUUGUAAAGCCCUUUUGUUGGGAAAGAAAAGCAGCAGGUUAAUACCCCGCUGUUCUGACGGUACCCAAAGAAUAAGCACCGGCUAACUUCGUG